RNAcentral lists this ribosomal RNA (238 nucleotides) under Escherichia coli. RNAcentral's name for it is "partial 23S ribosomal RNA". It matches the Rfam family "Bacterial large subunit ribosomal RNA", at positions 2705 to 2925 of the family's 2925-position model. Lineage: Bacteria; Pseudomonadati; Pseudomonadota; Gammaproteobacteria; Enterobacterales; Enterobacteriaceae. The record is from RNAcentral.
AUCACUGGUGUUCGGGUUGUCAUGCCAAUGGCACUGCCCGGUAGCUAAAUGCGGAAGAGAUAAGUGCUGAAAGCAUCUAAGCACGAAACUUGCCCCGAGAUGAGUUCUCCCUGACCCUUUAAGGGUCCUGAAGGAACGUUGAAGACGACGACGUUGAUAGGCCGGGUGUGUAAGCGCAGCGAUGUGUUGAGCUAACCGGUACUAAUGAACCGUGAGGCUUAACCUUACAACGCCGAAG